This 842-nucleotide ribosomal RNA is filed under the name uncultured archaeon. RNAcentral's name for it is "bacterial SSU rRNA". It matches the Rfam family "Archaeal small subunit ribosomal RNA", at positions 85 to 876 of the family's 1478-position model. The record is from RNAcentral.
ACGGCUCAGUAACACGUAGUCAACCUGCCCUGGAGACAAGGACAACCCCGGGAAACUGGGAUUAAUCCUUGAUAGGUCAUCUCACCUGGAAGGAGAGAUGGCUUAAAGGGGUACGCGGGCUUCUUCCGCGAAUCCGCUCCAGGAUGGGACUGCGUCCGAUCAGGCUGUUGGCGGGGUAAUGGCCCACCAAACCUGUAACCGGUACGGGCCUUGAGAGAGGUGGCCCGGAGAUGGACACUGAGAGAAGGGUCCAGGUCCUACGGGGCGCAGCAGGCGCGAAACCUUCGCAAUGCGCGAAAGCGUGACGAGGUUAAUCCGAGUGACUUCCGCUGAGGAGGUCUUUUGUCAGCUGUAAAUAGGCAGGCGAAUAAGGGGAGGGCAAGCCUGGUGUCAGCCGCCGCGGUAAUACCAGCUCCUCGAGUGGUCGGGGCGAUUAUUGGGCCUAAAGCAUCCGUAGCCGGUUCCGUAGGUCCUCUGUUAAAUCCAACCGCUUAACGGUUGACCUGCAGAGGAUACCGCGGGACUAGGAGGCGGGAGAGGCGGACGGUACUCCGCGUGUAGGGGUAAAAUCCUUUGAUCCGCGGAAGACCACCAGAUUGCUCGCGGUUAACGACCACGGGCAUGGUGAAUGGCGAAGGCGGUCCGCCAGAACGCGCUCGACGGUGAGGGAUGAAAGCUGGGGGAGCGAACCGGAUUAGAUACCCGGGUAGUCCCAGCCGUAAACGAUGCUAGCUAGAUGAUUCAUUCGCAAGUCGCGAAUGAAGUGUCGCAGGGAAGCCGUUAAGCUAGCCGCCUGGGGAGUACGGUCGCAAGACUGAAACUUAAAGGAAUUGGCGGGGGAG